RNAcentral lists this ribosomal RNA (254 nucleotides) under uncultured bacterium. Its description in RNAcentral is "partial 16S ribosomal RNA". It matches the Rfam family "Archaeal small subunit ribosomal RNA", at positions 474 to 727 of the family's 1478-position model. The record is from RNAcentral.
CACCCGCGCCACAAGUGGCAAUCAUUUUUAUUGGGUCUAAAGCGUCCGUAGCCGGUUUGAUAAGUCUCUUGUGAAAUUGUUGGGCUUAACCUAACAGCGUGCAAGAGAAACUAUUAAGCUAGAGACUGGGAGGAGACAGAGGUAUUCUGAGGGUAGCGGUAAAAUGUUAUAAUCCUCGGAGGACCACCAGUAGCGGAGGCGUCUGUCUAGAACAGGUCUGACGGUGAGGGACGAAGGCCAGGGGAGCAAAACGG